CAGCCGCACGGUAAUACGAAGGGGGCUAGCGUUGUUCGGAUUUACUGGGCGUAAAGCGCACGUAGGCCGACUUUUAAGUCAGGGGUGAAAUCCCGGGGCUCAACCCCGGAGCUGCCUUUGAUACUGGGAGUCUUGAGUUCGAGAGAGGUGAGUGGAAUUGCGAGUGUAGAGGUGAAAUUCGUAGAUGUUCGCAGGAACACCAGUGGCGAAGGCGGCUCACUGGCUCGAUACUGACGCUGAGGUGCGAAAGCGUGGGGAGCAAACAGGAUUAGAUACCCCUGUAGUCCCUGUCUCUUAUACA
This 301-nucleotide ribosomal RNA is filed under the name uncultured bacterium. RNAcentral's name for it is "partial 16S ribosomal RNA". It matches the Rfam family "Bacterial small subunit ribosomal RNA", at positions 512 to 808 of the family's 1533-position model. The record is from RNAcentral.